This 253-nucleotide ribosomal RNA is filed under the name uncultured bacterium. RNAcentral describes it as "partial 16S ribosomal RNA". It matches the Rfam family "Bacterial small subunit ribosomal RNA", at positions 524 to 776 of the family's 1533-position model. The record is from RNAcentral.
UACGAAGGGGGCUAGCGUUGCUCGGAAUCACUGGGCGUAAAGGGUGCGUAGGCGGGUCUUUAAGUCAGGGGUGAAAUCCUGGAGCUCAACUCCAGAACUGCCUUUGAUACUGAGGAUCUUGAGUUCGGGAGAGGUGAGUGGAACUGCAAGUGUAGAGGUGAAAUUCGUAGAUAUUCGCAAGAACACCAGUGGCGAAGGCGGCUCACUGGCCCGAUACUGACGCUGAGGCACGAAAGCGUGGGGAGCAAACAGG